This 529-nucleotide ribosomal RNA is filed under the name Paenibacillaceae bacterium C33. RNAcentral describes it as "bacterial SSU rRNA". It matches the Rfam family "Bacterial small subunit ribosomal RNA", at positions 1 to 522 of the family's 1533-position model. RNAcentral also lists the same sequence under 1 other name. Lineage: Bacteria; Bacillati; Bacillota; Bacilli; Caryophanales; Paenibacillaceae. The record is from RNAcentral.
UGGAGAGUUUGAUCCUGGCUCAGGACGAACGCUGGCGGCGUGCCUAAUACAUGCAAGUCGAGCGGAUCUUGUCCUUCGGGAUAAGRUUAGCGGCGGACGGGUGAGUAACACGUGGGUAACCUGCCCAUAAGACUGGGAUAACAUUCGGAAACGAAUGCUAAUACCGGAUACGCGAAUYGGUCGCAUGGCCGAAUCGGGAAAGGCGGAGCAAUCUGCCACUUAUGGAUGGACCCGCGGCGCAUUAGCUAGUUGGUGGGGUAACGGCUCACCAAGGCGACGAUGCGUAGCCGACCUGAGAGGGUGAUCGGCCACACUGGGACUGAGACACGGCCCAGACUCCUACGGGAGGCAGCAGUAGGGAAUCUUCCGCAAUGGACGAAAGUCUGACGGAGCAACGCCGCGUGAGUGAUGAAGGUUUUCGGAUCGUAAAGCUCUGUUGCCAGGGAAGAACGCUUGCGAGAGUAACUGCUCGCAAGGUGACGGUACCUGAGAAGAAAGCCCGGCUAACUACGUGCCAGCAGCCGCGGUA